UACACUCCUGCGGGAGGCAGCAGUGGGGAAUAUUGGACAAUGGGCGCAAGCCUGAUCCAGCCAUGCCGCGUGAGUGAUGAAGGCCCUAGGGUUGUAAAGCUCUUUCACCGGUGAAGAUAAUGACGGUAACCGGAGAAGAAGCCCCGGCUAACUUCGUGCCAGCAGCCGCGGUAAUACGAAGGGGGCUAGCGUUGUUCGGAUUUACUGGGCGUAAAGCGCACGUAGGCGGACUAUUAAGUCAGGGGUGAAAUCCCGGGGCUCAACCCCGGAACUGCCUUUGAUACUGGUAGUCUUGAGUUCGAGGGAGGUGAGUGGAAUUCCGAGUGUAGAGGUGAAAUUCGUAGAUAUUCGGAGGAACACCAGUGGCGAAGGCGGCUCACUGGCUCGAUACUGACGCUGAGGUGCGAAAGCGUGGGGAGCAAACAGGAUUAGAAACCCGAGUGGUCCCA
This 449-nucleotide ribosomal RNA is filed under the name uncultured organism. RNAcentral's name for it is "partial 16S ribosomal RNA". It matches the Rfam family "Bacterial small subunit ribosomal RNA", at positions 332 to 797 of the family's 1533-position model. The record is from RNAcentral.